GGCACUACGGUGCUGAAGCAACAAAUGCCCUGCUUCCAGGAAAAGCCUCUAAGCAUCAGGUAACAUCAAAUCGUACCCCAAACCGACACAGGUGGUCAGGUAGAGAAUACCAAGGCGCUUGAGAGAACUCGGGUGAAGGAACUAGGCAAAAUGGUGCCGUAACUUCGGGAGAAGGCACGCUGAUAUGUAGGUGAAGCGACUUGCUCGUGGAGCUGAAAUCAGUCGAAGAUACCAGCUGGCUGCAACUGUUUAUUAAAAACACAGCACUGUGCAAACACGAAAGUGGACGUAUACGGUGUGACGCCUGCCCGGUGCCGGAA
This 320-nucleotide ribosomal RNA is filed under the name Escherichia coli. Its description in RNAcentral is "partial 23S ribosomal RNA". It matches the Rfam family "Bacterial large subunit ribosomal RNA", at positions 1573 to 1874 of the family's 2925-position model. The record is from RNAcentral. Lineage: Bacteria; Pseudomonadati; Pseudomonadota; Gammaproteobacteria; Enterobacterales; Enterobacteriaceae.